GUGCUUGCUUCGGCAGCACUUAUAUAUUAAAAUUGGAACAUUACAGAGAUUAGCACAACCUCUGUCAAGGAUGACACGCAAAUUCGUGAAAUGUUCAAUGUUUUC
Molecule: small nuclear RNA, 105 nt
Organism: Acomys russatus (golden spiny mouse)
Lineage: Eukaryota; Metazoa; Chordata; Mammalia; Rodentia; Muridae
Source: RefSeq, a predicted model, not a curated record